This is a long non-coding RNA of Peromyscus californicus insignis, 2930 nucleotides long. RefSeq lists it as uncharacterized. The transcript is spliced from 3 exons. Lineage: Eukaryota; Metazoa; Chordata; Mammalia; Rodentia; Cricetidae. The record is from RefSeq and is a predicted model, not a curated record.
GCUAAUAAUAGCAAUGGCUCGCUGGCGAAAUAAUGAGCGGCAAGAGGACUUCUAAGAAGGCAGCUCGCCCCAGAGCGAUUCAGACAGACUUGCUUACACAAGGACUGGCUGGCUGCUCUAGGAGGCCGCAAGCCAAAACCAACAUCAACACCCAGCAGCGCCAGUCGCUCCGAGGGGGCAGUGUAGCCCGAUGCUGAUGAGGUGCAUUGUGGGAAUGAACGAGGAGUCAAGACCUCCAUCUCCCUUUUAAUGUGAAUCUUGUGAUGCCCCAGACCGUGUCUGAGUCACCAGAGGGGCACCCCGCUGGACUCGGCCUGGGCCCUGUGAUUAAUGGGAGUGACAGGAGGCCAGGCUCUUCUAGAAAACAGGCUGGAGGUGAAAACAGUAGACAGUGAAUCAUUAGCUCGGAAUACACCCCCCACUGCUCUAUCUGGAGUCUCACCAUUUCCGUGGAUUACCUGGAGGCUUUACUGCAUAGCUAGGCUCCCAGAAUUGCGUUCCUCCAAAGUGAACUACGUCCUUUUUUUCUGCUAAUGGUAACAUAACAGGCUCACAUAGGCUCCUGUAUUUGAACACUUGGUCUCCUGUUGGAACUGUUUAUUCUGGGAGUUUUGGAGCCUUGCUGGAAGAAAUACAUCACUGGGGUCCAGCUUUGAGAGUCUAUAGAGUCACCCCACUUCCAGUGUUCUGUGCGUGGUUGAGACACGGUGUUCCGGCUCCCUGUUCCUGCCAACAUCCAUGUUGCCAUGUUGCCCCUGCCCUAUGGACUCCAGCCCUCUGGACCCGAAAGCCAAAAAUAAACUCUGUGUAAGUUGCUCUCAGUCUUGGUAUUUUAUCACAGAAGCAGGAAAGUGACUAAUAUUUUUUAAGUGACCUGUUUUCCUAGAUUCUCCUAAUACUUCUUUUCUUUGGUGUUCUGUACUUUUACUCGGCUGUGCCUGGGAUACUGAUGAUAAAGACGAUGAUGAUUCUAUCUGGAAUUUCUUGAGUUUCAUGGUUAUGUGAAUUGAAUAAUUUAGAGAUACCCUCUCCUAACUACUUCUCAAUGGACUUCUAGAAAUGUAAAAUUAGUCAAAACCUUUAGUUCAUAGUACAUCAUCAUCCCUGGAAGAUGAAUGGAUCAUUUUUAUUGAUUAACAUUUUAGUUAGUUAAUUUCAUAAUGUGAUUAGUGCAUGUGAAUUUAUUACUCAAAAUAAAAGCUAGGACAUUUCAAAAUCACCUGAUCUGAGUAGGUUGCCAUCACAUGGUACCAUCCAGCAACUAACCUCACUUCUCUCACUCGAUAUAACUAUCAGUGGGGACAGUCAUCAUUCCUCUACUUUCUGGACAGUUUUAUUAUACUUAUAUGUAGUCUGAAUAGUUUUUAAUUUCAUAAUAAAGAUAUGCUAUAUGUUUUUUACACUUAUCUUGAUAAUUCACUUGUAUUAUUGAAUGUACUGGAGUCACUUGUCUUGAUAAGUCAAAGUACUAUUGGAUGUACUGGAGUUGACUCAUUUGGAAUACUGUAUAAAACUGUAGCAUGCAAAUGCUUAUAAUUUAUUCAUUCCACAAUGGCAAAUCAGGCUGCCAUUGCUAGCUUUCCACUGUUAUGACAGCCGUCCAGGAAAACAGUCCUAGCUCUUCUCUGAGCACCGUCUUCCACUUUAUCAUCUCCUGGAACCCUGACUAAAAAUGUGUUAGUUAGGUUGGUGCUUUCUAUGUAAGUUAAUUCAUUUAACCACAGCUUUUUGGUUUACUAAUUUUUAAAAAAGAUUUAAAACAUUUAUUAUUGCUCCCCACCCCCACGUGUGUGGGGACGUGUUUGCCAUAGUGCACACGUGGAAGUCAGAGGACAACUUUGUGGAGUCAGUUUCUUCUUCUACUGUUAUGUGUGCUCCAGGAAUCAAACUCAGGACUCCAGGCUUUUGCACCAGACACUUUUAUCUGCUGAGCCGCCUCAUUGACUCUGGUUUACUAAUUCUUUAUUCAGCUGUGUUUUACUAAUUUCACUGGCUCUCUUGAUGGGAUUUUUUGCUUCUGUGACCAAACUUCAUUUCUAGAAGUUACAUUUUCCAAAUCUGCUUGAUCUUCAUUGCUUUUGCUGGUAAGCCUCUUUAUUUCUAUAUAGUAAAUGUUUUAAUUUUAUUUCUGUGAUUUAUAUACCCACUACAUCUUUAGAGGGCUGAUUUCACAGACCAUUGUCUCUUAUAUUCUCAGUGUGGCUCCUUUUUUUUUUUCCUCCUUACUUUGUUCCUUGUGAUGUAUUUUCUCUAGAACACUAGGUGAGAAAAGGCCUGGGUGGACCUUGAGGGUUUGGGUUGCUUCUUCUGAUUCUUCUAGAGGUACCACAAACCCAGGAGAAUUGGAUUUUUCACUGGAUCUCAUAUAGACUAGGCUGGCCUCCAACUUGCUACAUAGCUGGGGCUGACCUUGAACUCCUGACCCUCCUACCUCUCCCUCACAUGUGCUGAGAUUACACACAUGUGCCACCCUGCUCAGUUCAUAAUGAGGUUCUUGACUCACACACAGCACGAAUCUGACCUUAAACUCAAAUGUCGGCUUAAAGGCAGACACUGUUAGCCCCUUCCAGCUAAUGCCACAGUUAACACAAGAUAAUUCUCUUGCCAUGUCCUUGCAGAUGCUGUGUUUGUUUCUAACAUGCUCUUAACCCAAGGUGUAGCCUUUUUUUCAAAGGGCAGCCCUGGCAGUCUCUGUAGCACUGGAAGUAUCCUGAAAUUUAUAUCUAGUCUAGGGAUUCUUUUUAGCAACUAUGAUGGGGGCUACUUUGUUCAACAUUUUAAUUAUAACUAUAUGUGACAAUCUAUCAGGGCAUCUGGUCUGCCAUUCUGUUGAAAAGAAGAGCCCUAUCUGUUCCCAUUUAAAACUUCACUCUUUCGAUACUUAAUGCUCAGUCCUAUAUCCUGAUCAUCUACCCCUGAUAAAAUGUAAA